AAACACAUUUGCGUGUGUGUAAAAAUAAAAGGAAUUAAGCGUUUAAAGUAGAUUCAUAUAUACACUAUCUGCUUUCCUCCCAAAUAUGUUUGCUUUCAAGUUUCCUCAAACCGUUUGUCAUAUUUUUAGGUAUUAAAAAUAUUAACAUAUAAUUUAUAAUAGUGCGAUCAACGUGGUCAUGGUAUUUGAUACACAUAAUAUAACUUGUAAGCAUACAAAAUUACACACAGAUUCGCAUAAAACAGGGGGUUUUAUUUUAUUUUAAUUUUAUCAUGUUUUUGAGAAAACAUGAAAGAAAAAGACCCAAAGAUAUAUAUUUAUUUUUCAUCAGUCAUAAGCACCCCCCAUACUUAGGCUGAAAGUUGAUCCAUCAGCACUUAAACGGAACCGCUGAAACCUUUAUUGUAAACAUAUUCAAUAAGGGAAUCCAACUCAUCAUUGGUGCAGUCGAUCAAAUUGUCCUUAUUUUUAUCAGCAACGUCCAUGGCCUCUUCGACUUGCUUGUUUGGCGUGAGUGCACCUAGAUGUUGAAAAGCAUCCUUGAGCUGGUCCCUGGUGAGGCUGCCCUGCUUAGAGUAAGAUCGAAACACUUGUUCCAAUUUGUUUUUCUGAUCCUUGUUAUCCUUUGUGGCUUGCAUUGUGGAUUUUGAGGUUUGUGACCGGGUGAUAUUAGAGAGAAGGCUUGCCUAGCUUGGUUUGGUUUUCUUUUCCAAUGCUACUUGUUUAUAUAGACCCAAAACUCUGAAUACGAUUCUGUUUAAGUGUUGGGGAAUAAAACAUUUUUUGGUGGUGGGUUUAAAAAAUUGAUUUCCAUCUUUUUUAUCAAUAAAAUUAAUAAAUCAAUCAACAAAUUUUAUAAUGAAUACUUAAAAAAAAAAUUCCAAGAGGAUUGGUACGAAUAAAAAUAUUAAUGUUAAUUUCUUCUUUUCUUCUGGCUUCAAAUUAACUACAGAUUGGAAAAAGCUAAACGGCAGCCUCCACUAUCUUGUGUCCAUUUUCUAUUGUUUCAUUUGUUUUAGCCCUCAAUUUGCAGUUUUUAGGUUUUUCUUUUUUGGUUCCCUGAUUAAAUGAUGCAUUUUGGUCCAUUUGGUUUUAAUGAAUUUCAGAAUUUGGUAGAUCUCGUGAAAGGAGUUCUAGGAAGUACUUUGAUGAGCAUGCUUGUAAAUUGUGAUAAUUAUUGUGUAUGAAUGUUAAGUUAUCCAAAAAUAAAUAAGUUUAGCAUUACGACUGUCUUUCUUUUUUUGUUUGCCAUAAAUGAUUCUGGAGCAAAGCAAACUACUGUUAAACUAAUUAUUUGCAUUGUACCACUUCCAGGAAUCAUGGCCUUAGUGGGUUAAAAUCGUAUACAUGUUUCUCUCUCAUAUGUUCUUAAUCUGGGUAGGAUAGAAUGAAGUUUGGGCUAUUUCAAUUCCUUUGCACCUUUUUUCCCUUGUACUGUAAUAUUUUCUCAACCACCCUUUUGCAAGGGGAAAGCUGUAAUAUAUUAUAUAUAUAUAUAUAUAUAUAUAUAUAUAUUUUUAAAUUAGAUAAUUUUGUAAAAAAAUUAUAUUGAUGGAAGUGUGUACAUGGUAGUCAGAUUUUAUUUUUUCAUUUCUUCAUUUUUUAUAAAGCUUUAUUUUUAAAAAGUUCCUAAUAAAAAUUUUUACAAGAAUAAAUCAUCAUUAUUAACAUUGCAUGACAAUUCAAUUUUUUUUCCUUUUUAUUUGUUUUGAUUUUCAUUUUCAUUUUUUCAUUUUUAGUUUUUUUUCUCCCUUUAUUUUUUACUAGAUCAAUUGUUUCAGUGAAAAAAACUCAUCGGAUGUGCCCACAUGACAUCCUAUUUUAUUUUUUGAUUCUUUUUUUUUAAUUAGACAAAUAAUACAGUAAAAAAAUCAGUAUAUAAAUUUUAUAAGAUAAAAAUCAAUUGAAGUAUAGACAACAAAAUAUCUUGUAUCCGAUAUGUUUUGAUUCCUAUGGAUCAAUCGGUGUGCUUUUUCUUUUUUUUUAAUUUAGGAUUGGAAACCUUAAAAAAUAUGAAUUAUUACCAAAUUACAAUAGUAUCAUCUACUAAAAUAAUUUUGUAAGAAACCUUAUGAAGUAAGAAACGGAAAACUUAUAAUUGAAAAAUGAAUUAAUUAAUAGUAGGAUAGAAAAAUAAUUUAAAAGAUUACAAUUAGUAAUUUCAUAAUCAAAUAAAUGAAUUUUUUUUAAAUUAAUGUAAAGCUAUGUUUUCUAAACCAAAGAAAUGCACAAAUGACACUACAAAUUGAUCCUUCAUAUAUGCCUCACAAACAUUUUAAUAAAAUUACAAAAAAAAAUUUAACUAUUUCCAAAAAUAAAAUCUUGAUAUAUAUAAUUUUGCUAAAUAAGGUAUUUAAACUUUUGAUAAAUGAAAUCUUACUUGAAAUCCUGCAAUUAAUUAACUAAUUUUGAUAGUUUAGUUUUCAUUAAAGUGUAAUUUUCUUUUGCUUGCUAAGACCAACAUCUAUAUGUACUUUAAUUUUUUUGUCAAAUAGCUAUAGUUUUAUCAAAAUCAUUUUCAUCUAUACUUACAUAUAAGCACGUGCAAAAACAAAUGCAUAAAUGUGUGUAAAAUUAAAAAGAAUUAAGCAUUUAAUUAGAUUCAUAUAUAUAGAUAUAUAUAUAUAUAUACAUACACAUACACACACUAUCUGUAUUCCUCAUAAAUAGGUUGAUUUUCAAGUUUUCUCGAAACCUUUUAUCAUGUUUUUAAGUAAUAAAAAUAUUAGUGUAUGGUUCAUAAUAGUACGAUAACAUGUUCAUGGUAUUUGAUACACACAAUAUAACUUGCAAGCAUGUAAAAUUACACAGAUUUGAAUAAAAACAGGGGGUUUUAUUUUAUUUUAAUUUUAGCAUGUUUUUGAGAUAACAUGAAGGAAAAAGACCCAAAGCUAUAUAUUUAUUUUCAUCAGUCAUAAGCAUCCCCCAUACUUAGGCUGAAAGUUGAUCCAUCAGCACUCAAACGGAACUGCUGAAGCCUUUAUUGUAAGCAUAUUCAAUAAGGGAAUCCAACUCAUCAUUGGUGCAGUCGAUCAAAUUGUCCUUAUUUUUAUCAGCAACGUCCAUGGCCUCUUCGACUUGCUUGUUUGGCGUGAGUGCACCUAGAUGUUGAAAAGCAUCCUUGAGCUGGUCCCUGGUGAGGCUGCCCUGCUUAGAGUAAGAUCGAAACACCUGUUCCAAUUUGUUUUUCUGAUCCUUGUUAUCCUUUGUGGCUUGCAUUGUGGAUUUUGAGGUUAUGACAGGGUGAUAUUAGAGAGAAGGCUUGCCUAGCUUGGUUUGGUUUUCUUUUUCCAACGCAAUUCGUUUAUAUAGACCCAAAACUUUGAAUACGAUUCUGUUGAAGUAUAGGGGUAUAAAACAUUAUUUGGUGGUGGGUUUUAAUAAUUGAUUUCCGUC
This 3396-nucleotide long non-coding RNA is filed under the name Durio zibethinus. RNAcentral describes it as "long non-coding RNA (DZIB_LNC000588)". Lineage: Eukaryota; Viridiplantae; Streptophyta; Magnoliopsida; Malvales; Malvaceae. The record is from RNAcentral.